This 253-nucleotide ribosomal RNA is filed under the name uncultured bacterium. RNAcentral describes it as "partial 16S ribosomal RNA". It matches the Rfam family "Bacterial small subunit ribosomal RNA", at positions 524 to 776 of the family's 1533-position model. The record is from RNAcentral.
UACAGAGGGUGCAAGCGUUAAUCGGAAUUACUGGGCGUAAAGCGUGCGUAGACGGUUACAUAAGUCGGGUGUGAAAGCCCCGGGCUCAACCUGGGAAUUGCAUUCGAGACUGCGUAGCUAGGGUGCGGAAGAGGGAAGCGGAAUUUCCGGUGUAGCGGUGAAAUGCGUAGAUAUCGGAAGGAACAUCAGUGGCGAAAGCGGCUUCCUGGUCCAGCACCGACGUUCAGGCACGAAAGCGUGGGGAGCAAACAGG